UAACAAUACCCCUUUUUCAUGGUUAUUUUCGCCAAAACAGUGAAAUGUAUGGUCGGAAACUAUGAAUUCCAAUGUGCAUUCACGGUAUAGUGGACGAUAAUAAGCAUUGUGUAAACCAUUAAAUUUAUGGUUUGUGAAUAUGGAAUUCAUGGUUUUUUCAUUGUACAAUUCUAUUCGGGAUGAUAUAAGCGAUACUGGCAACAAAGUUUUUAAAUUACCCAUCCCCAUGUAGAGAAUUGGCGUGCGCUGAAAAUUUACCCAACUUUACAUCGAAUAUACACGGCGUGUGAAUAAACAAAAUAUACCACGCUCAGCGUGUAGAAACGGCCCAGGAACUGUCAUCACUGUUUCCGGGUGAGUCAAACAAAAGUCGCCGCACGAGCAAGUGGUGGAGAAAUCUUGUCGCUGGGAAAACCCGGAAUUCCGGGAGGAAAACGCAACCGAGGGGCUUCAGUUCGCACCAGCAGCUAGCGAAGAUUCAUCCAGACGCACUCUAAGCCACGUUGCUUGCUGAGCGGUUAAGCUGAAGAGGAACCGAGAUUGGAGUCGUCCAGACGGAACUUCAAAGCAACAAACGGGCAAAAAUAAUCGUGGGCCGCACAGACGGCCUUUUUUUUGACACCCUUGAUUCUUCUCAUUUGUCGCUUGCGGAGCGCCUUUUCCGUGCCAUCAACCACGGUGACAUUGCGGAUAAUUCCACCAGUACCCCCUCACUGUUUUGUUGGUGUUUCGGUGACAAGUUCCUUCUUCGGCCGGAGCGGAAUUGAUCCUCAGUGAAACUUGAACAAUCAGAUCGACAAUUGGAGGGGAACUGCUAAAGAGGGUCCGGAUCAGCAGUAGCGUGGCAUCAAAGUUUUCAUUCUCCAUCCGGUGUGGGACAGAUCGGCUUUGACCAACUAGCCAUCAAGUUCCCGCCCGAUGAUUCAUCCGGAGAUGAAUGGGUCGGCUGCAAGGCAAGGUAAAGGUGCUCAUCGAUUUCCGUGGCGCAGAUGCCGGGACGGCAACAGCAGUUCCAAGGGCUGGAUUUCAUCUUUAGCAGCUCCAGCGGUGCGCGAAGGCAGUGUCCCGCGAAAAUCCAUAUCAGUGACGUCAGAAAAAUCAGGGAGGAGAGUGGCACAGUCAUGCAGGUGGCACUAUCGGCGCCAUCCAAGCCGUUUGGAAGCACGACACCGGAUCUCAAGGAGGAGCACCCGGACGGAGGCGGGACAAAAAGGAGCCAUCCUGUUGGCAUGUCGUUGUUGUGAAAUCCUGAUGUAAGUACACGCACAUGGACGGGGAAGUGUGGGAUUUUAUUCAAACUGUUGCCCCAAUAUAACCUCAACCAAACUUAA
Long non-coding RNA from Uranotaenia lowii, 1331 nucleotides. RefSeq lists it as uncharacterized. The record is from RefSeq and is a predicted model, not a curated record. The transcript is spliced from 3 exons. NCBI's taxonomy places the organism in Eukaryota, Metazoa, Arthropoda, Insecta, Diptera, Culicidae.